Cotesia glomerata is the source of this 314-nucleotide long non-coding RNA. RefSeq lists it as uncharacterized. The record is from RefSeq and is a predicted model, not a curated record. The transcript has 2 exons. Lineage: Eukaryota; Metazoa; Arthropoda; Insecta; Hymenoptera; Braconidae.
UGAUCUUUUUACGUCGAAUUUUUUUUUUUAUUUGCGCUUGACGAAUUAUUUUUUGACACUGAUAAAUCCACAAUUGAUAAUCAUAUUCAUCUGCCAUUGAAAUUUCGAUAAGUCACUUAAAUUUGAUGUUAAGAACUAGCUUCUAGGUAUAUCUCGAGAUAUCGACUUUCGAUAUUCAUACAUUUUUUUCGCCGCUGAUUUUUUUAAUUUGACGCUGGCAUUUGACGCUGGAUAUGUCUUUAUUUAUUUCAGCUAGGUGGAGCUAUAGUUUGACGCUCAAAGCUAGCGUCAAGCGUCAUCAUGAGGUUACAACU